Molecule: ribosomal RNA, 253 nt
Filed under: uncultured bacterium
Lineage: Bacteria
Description: partial 16S ribosomal RNA
Rfam family: Bacterial small subunit ribosomal RNA
Source: RNAcentral
UACGUAGGGGGCUAGCGUUGUCCGGAUUUACUGGGCGUAAAGGGCGCGUAGGCGGCGUGGUAAGUCAGCUGUGAAAUCUCCGAGCUUAACUCGGAACGGUCAGCUGAUACUGCUGUGCUAGAGUACAGAAGGGGCAAUCGGAAUUCUUGGUGUAGCGGUGAAAUGCGUAGAUAUCAAGAGGAACACCUGAGGCGAAGGCGGGUUGCUAGGCUGAUACUGACGCUGAGGCGCGAAAGCUAGGGUAGCAAACGGG